GAAGCAGGCCAAGACAGUCGCUGGCUGGCGCGUAAUGCGUCGGCGGGAGGAAGGUCCGGACUCCAUAGAGCAGGGUGACGGUUAAUGGCCGUCCGCUGAAAGCCGACCGGCGCAAGCCGGGGAGUAUAAGGCGAGGAAUAGGGCCACAGAGACGAGCGUAUUAAGUUACGGUGAAACGCGGUAACCUCCACCUGGAGCAAUCCCAAAUAGGCACGCGUUGAGGCGGCUCGCGGAGCGUGCGGGUAGGGAGCUUGAGCGCAGGAGUAAUUCUGCGCCUAGAGGAAUGGCUGUCAUAGCGAAUGCCUGCAAGGGUAGUCGCCGUAACAAAAUCCGGCCUAUCGGCCUGCUUUACAC
This 354-nucleotide RNase P RNA is filed under the name Massilia violaceinigra. Its description in RNAcentral is "RNase P RNA component class A". It matches the Rfam family "Bacterial RNase P class A". From Rfam's summary of the family: Ribonuclease P (RNase P) is a ubiquitous endoribonuclease, found in archaea, bacteria and eukarya as well as chloroplasts and mitochondria. Its best characterised activity is the generation of mature 5'-ends of tRNAs by cleaving the 5'-leader elements of precursor-tRNAs. Lineage: Bacteria; Pseudomonadati; Pseudomonadota; Betaproteobacteria; Burkholderiales; Oxalobacteraceae. The record is from RNAcentral. RNAcentral also lists the same sequence under 1 other name.